UCAUUUACAUAAACAGCAUCAUACUAGUUUUGUUCACAGUGACUGAGUUUACUCUUGCAACUCGUCAUAAUACCUAUUCAGCAUUGUUUGGAUUAGGAUUGGUUAUUGAAGCAUCACUGUUUCUUGGACUCAUCUUUAUUCCUAAGAUGAUUUGUUUAUAUCUUGAUCCUCAAGGAGAGAAAGUUUUCUCUCAAAGUGGAGCUACAGCUGCUCCAAGUAAUUCUCAUGCACUAACAAACAACAGUGUUGAUCAGAAGGAACCACCUGAAGAGAUAAUUUUAAAUUUACGAAAAAGAGUCAAAGAACUAGAAGGACAACUUAAUCAGAAUAAAUGAAAGAAAAGAGUCUUGUUCCGACGCUAUUUUAUUAAAGAAAAUACUAUUGCUAUUUUUAAAUUAAUCAACACAACAUGCUCAUAAUAGACUAACAUCCCAGUUAUAUAAAUGUUUGUAAAUUUUAAAACCAUUUUGUUUUAUUUGUAUUAUUUCUGGCCUCGAACUGAGUUGCCUCACCA
Molecule: long non-coding RNA, 514 nt
Organism: Amphimedon queenslandica
Lineage: Eukaryota; Metazoa; Porifera; Demospongiae; Haplosclerida; Niphatidae
Exons: 3
Source: RefSeq, a predicted model, not a curated record